This 63-nucleotide long non-coding RNA is filed under the name Haliotis rufescens (red abalone). RNAcentral describes it as "uncharacterized LOC125381199". The record is from RNAcentral. Lineage: Eukaryota; Metazoa; Mollusca; Gastropoda; Lepetellida; Haliotidae.
GCCUAGGUCGUUCCAAGGUGGUACACAGGAGGUUCAGACAUCGCCAUGGACGCCAUAGUCGCC